UACAGAGGGUGCGAGCGUUGUUCGGAAUUAUUGGGCGUAAAGCGCUUGUAGGCGGCUUGUUAAGUCGCGUGUGAAAUCCCCAGGCUCAACCUGGGAAGUGCGCGCGAAACUGGCGAGCUUGAAUGCCGGAGAGGGUCGCGGAAUUCCCGGUGUAGAGGUGAAAUUCGUAGAUAUCGGGAGGAACACCAGUGGCGAAGGCGGCGACCUGGACGACAUUGACGCUGAGACGCGAAAGCGUGGGGAGCAAACAGG
RNAcentral lists this ribosomal RNA (252 nucleotides) under uncultured bacterium. RNAcentral describes it as "partial 16S ribosomal RNA". It matches the Rfam family "Bacterial small subunit ribosomal RNA", at positions 524 to 776 of the family's 1533-position model. The record is from RNAcentral.